RNAcentral lists this ribosomal RNA (489 nucleotides) under uncultured bacterium. Its description in RNAcentral is "partial 16S ribosomal RNA". It matches the Rfam family "Bacterial small subunit ribosomal RNA", at positions 28 to 507 of the family's 1533-position model. The record is from RNAcentral.
GAUGAACGCUAGCUACAGGCUUAACACAUGCAAGUCGAGGGGCAGCAUGAACUUAGCUCGCUAAGUUUGAUGGCGACCGGCGCACGGGUGAGUAACACGUAGCCAACCUGCCGAUGACGCGGGGAUAGCCUUGCGAAAGAAAGAUGAAUACCCGAUGGCAUAGUUCUUCCGCAUGGUAGAACUAUUAAAGAAUUUCGGUCAUCGAUGGGGAUGCGUUCCAUGAGGUUGUUGGCGGGGUAACGGCCCACCAAGCCUUCGAUGGAUAGGGGUUCUGAGAGGAAGGUCCCCCACAUUGGAGCUGAGACACCGUCCACACUCCUACGGGAGGCAGCAGUGUGGUACAUUGGUCAGUGGACGAGAGUCUGAGCCAGCCAAGUAGCGUGAAGGCUGACUGCCCUGUGGGUUGUAAACUUCUUUUAUGCGGGAAUAACGUGAGGAACGUGUGCCUUUUUGUCUGUACCGUAUGAAUAAGGAUCGGCUAACUCCGUG